CACUGUGCUUAAGUCAGAGAUGGUCUCACCAACACAGACUACCCGGAUGUUUAACAAGCAAUUCCUGAAGACAUGAUGGGUUCUUGAGCCCCUGCUAGGGGUGUUGCUUGGGCUGAGCCCUGACAGAAGGGCUGCUAUGGGUCCUCUGGUCCACUUGCCCUCCACGGGAUCCUUUGUGCUUUUUCUCUGCCUGCCUUCUGCCUGUUUGAGAUGCUGCUGGAUCCCAGAGAACCUUCAGGAGGUGUCCCUGUAUCAGUGCUCCCAGGAGGAGACCCAUCGCUGGAGGCUCCGGCCUUGAUAAAGUGUUCGAGAGUCAGCAAGAAAGGGAGCAAAACAAGAACAGUCAGAUAUAAAAAGUCAAUCAGCAUAUAUCAGCCAAGUGGCCAGUUGUCCUUUCUUGGUCACAUUAUCUUUUAUCCCAAAUAUCCUUUCUAUUUUUUUUUUUUUUUGGCAGUUAAAAUAUUACUUCUUUCAUAAAAUGGUGGUGUGAGAAAACAACGGAUUUUUGUAAAUGUCUUUACUUGGCAAACUAAAAAGCGUUUGCGACUCAGUCAGACUCGUCUUUCUGCUCAUGACU
Molecule: long non-coding RNA, 577 nt
Organism: Mirounga angustirostris (Northern elephant seal)
Lineage: Eukaryota; Metazoa; Chordata; Mammalia; Carnivora; Phocidae
Exons: 3
Source: RefSeq, a predicted model, not a curated record